UGUACUCUUUCAUCUGACUUAUUUAACUGUAACCCCUCUGUACAUCACCUUUAUAAUAACUUGAAAUGAUUCAUGAAAAAAAAAACCACCUAAAAGUAAGCUUGCUACCAAACCAAGAAAAGCGCAUUAUGAGCUAGGCAUUGGCGGCCCAAGCCUGUAAUCCUAGCUACUUAGGAAAGCAAUUUGAGGAUA
Molecule: long non-coding RNA, 192 nt
Organism: Perognathus longimembris pacificus (Pacific pocket mouse)
Lineage: Eukaryota; Metazoa; Chordata; Mammalia; Rodentia; Heteromyidae
Exons: 3
Source: RefSeq, a predicted model, not a curated record